Molecule: ribosomal RNA, 495 nt
Filed under: uncultured bacterium
Lineage: Bacteria
Description: partial 16S ribosomal RNA
Rfam family: Bacterial small subunit ribosomal RNA
Source: RNAcentral
GACGAACGCUGGCGGCGUGCCUAAUACAUGCAAGUAGAACGCUGAAGGAGGAGCUUGCUCUUCUGGAUGAGUUGCGAACGGGUGAGUAACGCGUAGGUAACCUGCCUGGUAGCGGGGGAUAACUAUUGGAAACGAUAGCUAAUACCGCAUAACAGUAGAUGUUGCAUGACAUUUGCUUAAAAGGUGCAAUUGCACCACUACCAGAUGGACCUGCGUUGUAUUAGCUAGUUGGUGGGGGAACGGCUCACCAAGGCGACGAUACAUAGCCGACCUGAGGGGGAGGACGGCCCACAUGGGAACGGAGCACGGCCCAAACUCCUACGGGGGGGAGGAAGAGGGAAUCUUUGGACAUGGGGGGAAAGCUGGACGAACAAAGGCGGGGGGGUGGAAGAGGUUCUCGGGAUGGAAAACUAUUUUGAGGGGGGAGAAAGGGGAGGAAGGUGAAAAGUUCACGUUUUGACGGUAUCUAACCAAAAAGGAACGGCUAACUACGUG